UAUAAUCAUGGUUUUGAAUACACCCUUAGCCAAAAUGAAUUUAGCCAAUCAUACUUAAAGCAAAACAAAGAUUAAAUGAAUUAGACAUUGAAAUAUAAGAUAGAAUACACCUAAAAUUGUUCAACAACUCAGAAUGAAGAGCCAAACAAUUGAGUGAAUCUGUCCCUUUUCCUUGCUUGCGGCAGAUUGGUUGUUGAAGGUUUCUGGGCUGUUUUGAUGAUGUAGAAUGGAUUUUGGGGGGUGUAGAGGCACGGCAAGGGGUGUAGGGUGAGUGUGAAAGAGUGUUUGAUGGUUGGAAGGUGGUGGAGAACUCGGCAAAGAGGGUGGAAGAAGGUGGAGCGGCUGUUGUAUUUUCUGGGCGCUAGAAUGGUGUUUCUGGGGUGUUUUACUGCCUAGGGUGUGUAUGGACGAAUUUCUGUGAUGAAUGAUGAAUAUGGGAGGUGAUAAUUUCGGCCAAAAGGUUUAAUGAGUAUAUAUAGGCACUUAAAAACCCUAGCAAAUCAGAUUAGGGUUUCUAGAAGCCCAAAUCCAUUAGAAACUAGGUUAAAACAAUCAGAUUUUUAAUGGGAAAAGGCCUAGGGUGCGGCUGGAUGGAUAGCGUAAAGGAUGGGCCUUCUAGAAUGCCUUGCAAGGCAAGGCAAAGGGUUUCUAAAAAGGGGAAAGGUGCGGCCCAAAGAGGAUGAGGAUAGGUCAUCUAAAAGCCCAAAGCCAAGAAUAAAAACUCUCAAAAAUGGAAACCUCCAAGAAUAGAAACUUCCAACUUUAGAAACUUUGGUUUCCACUUCUGCAUUCUUUGUUCUUCACUUUCAUUUCUUCAUCUCUUAGGCUCCUUUGACCUUCAAACUUGUCCAUUCCUUGUGCUCUAUAUGCAUACACUCCAUUCCAGCUCAAUUUUGCUCUAAAAUGCUCCAAUUUGCAUCAUUUUAUGUAAUAUGCCCUUAAACCCUAAAAACACAUGAAACUAGCUUAAAAGACUACUUUAAACUCAUAAAACAUAAUGAAAAUGCAUAAGAACUAGCUAACUAAGGCGCAUAAAUAUGCUCCUAUCAACCUCCACCAACGUAUCUUCCAAAACUCCUUUUGGAUAUGCAUUAGAACAAUCAACUAAUUGAAUAAUAACACCAUCAUUUUUAAGCUCUCCUAGAAUCAUAGAUGCAUAGAUAGAGUAAGGCAUGACAUUAAUGGAAGCACCUAAAUCUAACAUAGCAUGUUCAAACUUGGUAUUACCAAUAACACAAGGGAUUGUGAAACUACCUCAAUCUUUGCAUUUACGUGGCAGUUUUCUUUGUAACACUGUAGAGACAUUUUCACUUACCCGUACCACUUCCUUUUCCGAGAUCCGUCUCCUUGUUGUACAAAGCUCUUUAAAAAAUUUAGCAUACUUUGGAACUUGCUUUAUUGCAUCAAGAAGUGGGAUACUGACUUGUACCUUCCUGAAGGUUUCUAACAUGUCUUUUUCAUUAUCUUCUUUCUUAGAUUGCAUAAACCUGUGAGGGAAAGGCACAUUUGGUGGAAUAGGGUUAGAAGGAAUUGAAUUUGAACCAACCUUACCUAAAUUGGGUGGCAUAGGAGCCUUAAAAGGUUACGGCAAAGAUUGUUCUUCUCUUGUCAUGGCCUUGUCCUCCUCUUCUUCUUUGGGCAGCAGCUGUUUGUCCUAUUUUUGGCUUUGUUUGGACGUUUUUGGGUUGGUUCCAAUUUCUUUACCACUUCUCAAGGUAAUAGCAUUAGCAGUUUCAAAACCUCCAUUUGGAUUGACAAUGGUUGAACUAGGAAGUUUGCCUUGUUCUCUAAAUUGUCCCAUGAAUUCUACCAUUUGCCCAAUUUGAUUCUUCACUUCACCCAUCUCUUUGACUUGAUUUUGUAAACCUUGAGUGAAAGAAGUUAGUGCUUGAAGAACUUUAUCAUAAUCCAUUGACGAACUUGAAUUUGGUUAGGAAGAUUGUGGCGAAGGUUAUGGUGGUGCAAAUGGCCUUUGAUAGAGCCCAGAAGGUGUCUAUCUAUAUCUGCCUUGUUGUUGAGUUUGUUGAGGUUCCCUCCACCUAUAUUUGUAUGGUCUCUCCAGCUCGGAUUAUAGGUGUUGGAAAAUGGGUCAUUCCUUGGUUGAUUUUGGCCUUGAUAACCUAUGGCAUUGGCACUUUCCCAUUCCCCAUUCUCUAUUAAUUGAGGACAUUGAUCAGUAGGGUGUCCUUGCAUAGAGCACAUGCCACAAGCAGCUGCACCUUACACUUUGGAUCCUUCAACAACCUGUGAUAUAAGAGUAGAGAGAUUAGCCAUUUAAGAUUGAAGUUCUAAAAUAGCACUUACCUCAUUAACUUGAUUUUGCCGUGUAAUUCCCUUCCUUUAACUCCUUUGUAUUGUUGUGCAUUCAAGGCUCGAUUCGCUAUUAAGAUCUUCAUAGCAACUGGUGUUUUGUUAACCAAAACACCUCCUGCUAAAGCAUCAAGCAUUUGUCUCUCAAAUGGAAGUAGUCCUUCAUAGAAAUAUUGAAUUAAAAACCCUUCCUUCAUUUAAUGUUGUGGACAAGAUGCAACUAAAGUCUUCAAAUGUUCAUAAUACACUUGAAAGGAUUCUUCUAGACCUUGUUGAAUUCAACUAAUUCUCUUCCUAAAAAGAACGACUCUUGAAGUUGGGAAGAAUUUCUCUAAGAAUGUUUUCUUCGUGCUUUCCCAAGAGGUGACGGUUCCAGGUGCUAAUUCAAAGAGCCAAUGUUUAGCCUUUUCCAAAAGAGAGAAUGGAAAGGCUUUCAUCUUCAAAAGAUUCCCAUCCACAUUAAUUGGUGUCAUACUAGAACAUACUACUUCAAAUUCCUUAAAAUGGUUGUUCGGAUCUUCCAUGGACAACCCAUGGUAUUUGGGAAUGUGAUGCAGCAAACUAGACUUCUGCUCAAACUCAUCAGUUUUGCCUUAAACUGUCGCAGGGUAUUGAAUGCAAAGGGGAACAGGAUUGUGAAGGAUGAUUUUGUGAAAACAUGUUCAUUUGAGCAACAUCUAUAAGCAUGCAAUUAACAAUUAAAGGCGGAAUCAUGCUAUGCACUAAAAAACAAAACAUUACCCAUGAAAUUCAAAGCCUAGUAGAUUGGUGAACCAAGACUCAACUCAAAUCA
Molecule: long non-coding RNA, 3103 nt
Filed under: Malus domestica (apple)
Lineage: Eukaryota; Viridiplantae; Streptophyta; Magnoliopsida; Rosales; Rosaceae
Description: long non-coding RNA (MDOM_LNC018798)
Source: RNAcentral